AGGUGUAGCUCUGUAACUGGUCGUCUUUACUCAGGCUCGGUUUUGUUUUGGUCCCCACAAGUCCAGUAAAAUGGCUCUUCUCAACAUCACCACACAGAAGAAAGGCCAUCUGAGAAGGUGACAUCUAUAGAUCAGGAAGAGAGCCCUCCCCAAGAACUGAGUGGACCAGCACCUUGACUUUGACUUCUCAGCUUCAGAACUGCAGGAUGCCUGGAUCCUGGAUUCAUCACAAAUGAACUCUGUCAACUUCCCCGUGAUACAACACAUUCUGGCAGUAUUUGUCUACUUUUGAUAAAUUGG
This is a long non-coding RNA of Lutra lutra (Eurasian river otter), 300 nucleotides long. RefSeq lists it as uncharacterized. Lineage: Eukaryota; Metazoa; Chordata; Mammalia; Carnivora; Mustelidae. The record is from RefSeq and is a predicted model, not a curated record. The transcript has 4 exons.